CCUUGCUCAGACGAACGCUGGCGGCGUGCCUAAUACAUGCAAGUCGAGCGGACAGAAGGGAGCUUGCUCCCGGAUGUUAGCGGCGGACGGGUGAGUAACACGUGGGUAACCUGCCUGUAAGACUGGGAUAACUCCGGGAAACCCGGAGCUAAUACCGGAUAGUUCCUUGAACCGCAUGGUUCAAGGAUGAAAGACGGUUUCGGCUGUCACUUACAGAUGGACCCGCGGCGCAUUAGCUAGUUGGUGAGGUAACGGCUCACCAAGGCGACGAUGCGUAGCCGACCUGAGAGGGUGAUCGGCCACACUGGGACUGAGACACGGCCCAGACUCCUACGGGAGGCAGCAGUAGGGAAUCUUCCGCAAUGGACGAAAGUCUGACGGAGCAACGCCGCGUGAGUGAUGAAGGUUUUCGGAUCGUAAAGCUCUGUUGUUAGGGAAGAACAAGUGCAAGAGUAACUGCUUGCACCUUGACGGUACCUAACCAGAAAGCCACGCUAACUAC
This 502-nucleotide ribosomal RNA is filed under the name Bacillus pumilus. Its description in RNAcentral is "bacterial SSU rRNA". It matches the Rfam family "Bacterial small subunit ribosomal RNA", at positions 18 to 504 of the family's 1533-position model. The record is from RNAcentral. Lineage: Bacteria; Bacillati; Bacillota; Bacilli; Caryophanales; Bacillaceae.